UACGUAGGUGACAAGCGUUGUCCGGAAUUAUUGGGCGUAAAGCGCGCGCAGGCGGUCUUUUAAGUCUGAUGUGAAAGCCCACGGCUCAACCGUGGAAGGUCAUUGGAAACUGGAAGACUUGAGUGCAGAAGAGAAGAGCGGAAUUCCACGUGUAGCGGUGAAAUGCGUAGAGAUGUGGAGGAACACCAGUGGCGAAGGCGGCUCUUUGGUCUGUAACUGACGCUGAGGCGCGAAAGCGUGGGGAGCAAACAGG
RNAcentral lists this ribosomal RNA (253 nucleotides) under uncultured bacterium. RNAcentral's name for it is "partial 16S ribosomal RNA". It matches the Rfam family "Bacterial small subunit ribosomal RNA", at positions 524 to 776 of the family's 1533-position model. The record is from RNAcentral.